Molecule: non-coding RNA, 633 nt
Organism: Pogona vitticeps (central bearded dragon)
Lineage: Eukaryota; Metazoa; Chordata; Lepidosauria; Squamata; Agamidae
Source: RefSeq, a predicted model, not a curated record
UUCCUGCCCUCACAUCAGCAUUCAGCACACUGGUAGGUUAUGACACACUCUGUUCUCCUCUCUCAGAGGAAUAGAGGAAUAUUUUGAGGAGCAUACUCAACCAGCACACGAAAUGUUAACAUGAAGGAGACAGGUUUCACAAUCCAUUGUUCAUUUCUGUGGAAGGAGACAAGCUUCAGACCCCAUUUCCCAUUUAGGGCUCUGCAGAAUGAAACUCACUCAAAAAUGUAGAACUGUAUGAAGUAAAGAAGGAGAUGCUGCAGGGAGUCCUGGCUGGAAAAGUUGUGGGUCUUCCACAAAUUACAAAAGCAGGGAAGUAGACCCAGGAAAAACUUCCUAUAUUACGGUGUGUGUGUGCAGAAGCCAAACCAAAGUAGGUAUGAAGGCAGCAACUGCACCCUCCUUGCUCAGUAAACUUCAACCACUUUGGAAGGAAGCAUCGAUCCAGUUCUAACAUCGAUACAACUACAGACAAGUGAACUACAAGUCAAGAUUUAAUGCAGCGUGAAAAUGUUCUGAGCAGUAUUUAUGAUCACAUUCAGUACUUAACUGGCUAUUGUGUUGAUGCACCAUUAGGUAGUGGAUAAUGUAACUGUUCCUUGUAUCUACUUUUAAAUAAAAAUGUAUAAUUCA